GACGAACGCUGGCGGCGUGCUUAACACAUGCAAGUCGAGCGGUAAGGCUCCUUCGGGAGUACACGAGCGGCGAACGGGUGAGUAACACGUGAGUAAUCUGCCCUUCACUUCGGGAUAACCACCGGAAACGGUGGCUAAUACCGAAUACGACCAGUCUUCGCAUGAAGUGCUGGUGGAAAGUCUUUUCGGUGAAGGAUGUGCUCGCGGCCUAUCAGCUUGUUGGUGGGGUAAUGGCCUACCAAGGCUUCGACGGGUAGCCGGCCUGAGAGGGUGACCGGCCACACUGGGACUGAGACACGGCCGAGACUCCUACGGGAGGUAGCAGUGGGGAAUAUUGGACAAUGGGCGAAAGCCUGAUCCAGCAACGCCGCGUGAGGGAUGACGGCGUUCGGGUUGUAAACCUCUUUCAGUACCGACGAAGCGCCCUGUCGGGUGGUGACGGUAGGUACAGAAGAAGGACCGGCCAACUACGUG
RNAcentral lists this ribosomal RNA (474 nucleotides) under uncultured bacterium. Its description in RNAcentral is "partial 16S ribosomal RNA". It matches the Rfam family "Bacterial small subunit ribosomal RNA", at positions 28 to 507 of the family's 1533-position model. The record is from RNAcentral.